UUCUCAUAUCAUAGUCAAUGUUUAUAUUGAAUAUCUUCAUAUGAUAGCUACAAGCACCACGUGUUGUACUGAAAUUUCUAUUUAUAUAGUUGUAUAUGCAAUAUUUGUCUGCGAGAACAGUUGUCUUGCUACAAUUUACAUCGGAAACUGAAUUUCGAGGAUGAAGACGGUACUUUAUCUGUGCUUGGUGCUGUUCACGUAUCUUCUGUUUUGUGAAGAAAGCGAAGGCAAAGCAAUGAAGAAACGUUGGCGGUGUUCUUGUGGAUCGGGAGGUUGUGGUUGCACGUACCGAUGGGGAAAAAAGAGAAAUUUGGAAGAAAUGGAAAGCAACUUUCCCCAACCGGAAGACGAAGAAAAGCGGGAUGAUCAGCUUGACGAUGCAAUGCUGAGUGAACAACUUUAAGUAGAUGAGCCACACCAAAGUUAAACGCCUCAUCUAGUCUAUCUCUGUUCUUCUCUGCAAAUUCUUAAAUAAAACAUCUCAAUGCAAUGUGAA
This is a long non-coding RNA of Ostrea edulis (European flat oyster), 496 nucleotides long. RefSeq lists it as uncharacterized. Lineage: Eukaryota; Metazoa; Mollusca; Bivalvia; Ostreida; Ostreidae. The record is from RefSeq and is a predicted model, not a curated record. The transcript is spliced from 4 exons.